UUCUGGCUCAGGAUGAACGCUAGCUACAGGCUUAACACAUGCAAGUCGAGGGGCAUCAUGGAGUUGCUUGCAAACUCUGAUGGCGACCGGCGCACGGGUGAGUAACGCGCAUCCAACCUUCCCUAUAGUAGAGGAUAGCCCGGCGAAAGUCGGAUUAAUACUCUAUGUUUUCCGUUGCAGACAUCUAAGAUGGAACAAAGGCUUGCCGCUAUAGGAUGGGGAUGCGUCUGAUUAGGUAGUCGGCGGGGUAACGGCCCACCGAGCCAUCGAUCAGUAGGGGUUCUGAGAGGAAGGUCCCCCACAUUGGAACUGAGACACGGUCCAAACUCCUACGGGAGGCAGCAGUGAGGAAUAUUGGUCAAUGGGCGAGAGCCUGAACCAGCCAAGUAGCCGUGCAGGACGACGGCCCUAUGGGUUGUAAACUGCUUUUAUGCGGGGAUAAAGUUCACUACGUGUAGUGUUUUGUAGGUACCGCAUGAAUAAGGACCGGCUAAUUCCGUGCCAGCAGCGGC
RNAcentral lists this ribosomal RNA (512 nucleotides) under uncultured bacterium. Its description in RNAcentral is "bacterial SSU rRNA". It matches the Rfam family "Bacterial small subunit ribosomal RNA", at positions 17 to 518 of the family's 1533-position model. The record is from RNAcentral.